UGGGGAAUAUUGCACAAUGGGCGAAAGCCUGAUGCAGCAACGCCGCGUGAGCGAUGAAGGCCUUCGGGUCGUAAAGCUCUGUCCUCAAGGAAGAUAAUGACGGUACUUGAGGAGGAAGCCCCGGCUAACUACGUGCCAGCAGCCGCGGUAAUACGUAGGGGGCUAGCGUUAUCCGGAAUUACUGGGCGUAAAGGGUGCGUAGGUGGUUUUUUAAGUCAGAAGUGAAAGGCUACGGCUCAACCGUAGUAAGCUUUUGAAACUAGAGAACUUGAGUGCAGGAGAGGAGAGUAGAAUUCCUAGUGUAGCGGUGAAAUGCGUAGAUAUUAGGAGGAAUACCAGUAGCGAAGGCGGCUCUCUGGACUGUAACUGACACUGAGGCACGAAAGCGUGGGGAGCAAACAGG
RNAcentral lists this ribosomal RNA (403 nucleotides) under uncultured Clostridium sp. RNAcentral describes it as "bacterial SSU rRNA". It matches the Rfam family "Bacterial small subunit ribosomal RNA", at positions 355 to 776 of the family's 1533-position model. Lineage: Bacteria; Bacillati; Bacillota; Clostridia; Eubacteriales; Clostridiaceae. RNAcentral also lists the same sequence under 1 other name. The record is from RNAcentral.